CUGAUGCAGCGACGCCGCGUGAGGGAUGACGGCCUUCGGGUUGUAAACCUCUUUCAGUAGGGAAGAAGCGAAAGUGACGGUACCUGCAGAAGAAGCGCCGGCUAACUACGUGCCAGCAGCCGCGGUAAUACGUAGGGCGCAAGCGUUAUCCGGAAUUAUUGGGCGUAAAGAGCUCGUAGGCGGUUUGUCGCGUCUGCCGUGAAAGUCCGGGGCUCAACUCCGGAUCUGCGGUGGGUACGGGCAGACUAGAGUGAUGUAGGGGAGACUGGAAUUCCUGGUGUAGCGGUGAAAUGCGCAGAUAUCAGGAGGAACACCGAUGGCGAAGGCAGGUCUCUGGGCAUUAACUGACGCUGAGGAGCGAAAGCAUGGGGAGCGAACAGGAUUAGAUACCCUGGUAGUCCAUGCCGUAAACGUUGGGCACUAGGUGUGGGGGACAUUCCACGUUUUCCGCGCCGUAGCUAACGCAUUAAGUGCCCCGCCUGGGGAGUACGGCCGCAAGGUAACUA
This 506-nucleotide ribosomal RNA is filed under the name uncultured bacterium. RNAcentral describes it as "bacterial SSU rRNA". It matches the Rfam family "Bacterial small subunit ribosomal RNA", at positions 383 to 899 of the family's 1533-position model. The record is from RNAcentral.